This 168-nucleotide ribosomal RNA is filed under the name Cryptococcus sp. (in: basidiomycete fungi). RNAcentral's name for it is "Cryptococcus sp. (in: Fungi) partial large subunit ribosomal RNA". It matches the Rfam family "Eukaryotic large subunit ribosomal RNA", at positions 99 to 261 of the family's 3401-position model. Lineage: Eukaryota; Fungi; Basidiomycota; Tremellomycetes; Tremellales; Cryptococcaceae. The record is from RNAcentral.
CGGGAAGAGCUCAAAUUUGAAAGCUGGCGUCCUUCGGGCGUCCGCAUUGUAAUCUAUAGAGGCGUUUUCUGUGCUGGACCGUGUCCAAGUCCCUUGGAACAGGGUAUCAAAGAGGGUGACAAUCCCGUACUUGACACGACAACCAGUGCUCUGUGAUACGUCUUCUAC